UUUUGGUAGAUAUUUAGCAUCAUGACUGGAAUAACCAUGAAAUCUAAUUUAGCAGUUAAAGGGUUAAUUUUUAAGAAUGGGUGCUUUUAC
Octopus sinensis (East Asian common octopus) is the source of this 90-nucleotide long non-coding RNA. RefSeq lists it as uncharacterized. The transcript is spliced from 3 exons. NCBI's taxonomy places the organism in Eukaryota, Metazoa, Mollusca, Cephalopoda, Octopoda, Octopodidae. The record is from RefSeq and is a predicted model, not a curated record.